GGUUAAUUAAUUAUUAUUAGUGUUAGGUUGUUGGUUAUAAAAUAAGUAGGUUAGGGUUUUAUUAUUGAUUAAGAAAUAAUGAGUUUAAUUAUAGUUAAUGAGUAUUGUGAAAGAAAUUGUGGUUCUAAUUAAAAGAAGAAUUUAAUUUUUGUACCUUGUGUAUCAGGGUUUACUAAAAAAAUCUUAUAUAUUUAAUUUUCUCGAACUUAGAAGAGCGAUUUGGUUAUUGAUUUUAUUGUUGAAUAAAUAUUUAUAAUAACUGGUUAGUAAUGAAAUGUUAUACGUUUCUAAAUAUAUCUAGUUUUCUCAGAAAUGGAUUUAAUUUAGCUUGGCUUGUAAAGUUAAUUUAUUUAAUAAUUUAUUUUAAUGGUGAGGUAAUAUAUUAGGGGAUGAGCUUUAGUGUAUAUUGUUAUAAGUAGGUAAAAGUUGGCAGAAUAGGUAGGAUUAGAAUUUUCCAUUCGUUAGAAGAAUGUUAUAAUUGGUUUUGUUAAAUAUUUUAUUUUUAUUGACUUUAAAUUUUUUAUGGGAAUGUAGUUUUUAAUUUUGAUUAAUUAGUAAAAAUGGUUAAAUUAGUAUAGUUAAAUUUAUAAAUAAGGUUAAUUUUAAGGUUAAUAAAAGGAAUUCGGCAAAUGAUUUUUCACCUGUUUAUUAAAAACAUGGCCUUUUGAUUAUGAUUUAAGGUCUAGCCUGCCCGCUGAGGGUUUAAAUGGCCGCGGUACUCUGACCGUGCGAAGGUAGCAUAAUAAUUAGUUUUUUAAUUGAAAGCUGGAAUGAAUGGUUGGAUGAGAAAAUUACUGUCUCUUGUUAAUUUUUAUUAAAAUUUUAUUUUUGAGUAAAAAAGCUCAAAUUUUAUUGAAAGACGAGAAGACCCUAUAGAGUUUUAUAAAGUGGAAUGUUUUUCUUUUUUUUUUAGUAUUUUAAAUGGGGAUAUUUUUUUUUAUUUGGUUGGGGUGAUCAAAAAAUUAAUUAAACUUUUUUUUUAUUUUUACACUUAUUUGUGGGUUCUUGAUCCGUUUAUAACGAUUAUAAGAUAAAAUUACCUUAGGGAUAACAGCGUAAUUUCUUUUGAGAGUUCUAAUCGAAGAAGAAGUUUGCGACCUCGAUGUUGGAUUAAAAUUAAUUUUUGGUGUAGAAGCUAAAAAUUUUAGGUCUGUUCGACCUUUGAAAUUUUACAUGAUCUGAGUUUAGACCGGCGUGAGCCAGGUUGGUUUCUAUCUUUAGUAGGUUAAUAUAUUCUAGUACGAAAGGACCGAAUAUUUGGUAAGUUAUUUAUUUUUGAAUAUUAUU
This 1287-nucleotide ribosomal RNA is filed under the name Callipogon relictus. RNAcentral describes it as "large subunit ribosomal RNA". The stretch from base 829 to 1225 matches the Rfam family "Bacterial large subunit ribosomal RNA", at positions 2049 to 2651 of the family's 2925-position model. Lineage: Eukaryota; Metazoa; Arthropoda; Insecta; Coleoptera; Cerambycidae. The record is from RNAcentral.